CACGUAUGGGGCGAGCGUUGUUCGGAAUUAUUGGGCGUAAAGGGCGCGUAGGCGGCUUUUGAAAGCUUGGUGUUAAAGGCUCUGGCUCAACCAGAGUUUGGCGCUGAGAACUGCGAGGCUGGAGUUUAGGAGGGGAAGCUGGAAUUCCAGGUGUAGGGGUGAAAUCUGUAGAUAUCUGGAAGAACACCGGUGGCGAAGGCGAGCUUCUAUCCAUAGACUGACGCUGAUGCGCGAAAGCGUGGGGAGCGAACAGGAUUAGAUACCCCCGUA
RNAcentral lists this ribosomal RNA (270 nucleotides) under uncultured prokaryote. RNAcentral describes it as "partial 16S ribosomal RNA". It matches the Rfam family "Bacterial small subunit ribosomal RNA", at positions 524 to 792 of the family's 1533-position model. The record is from RNAcentral.